RNAcentral lists this transfer RNA (73 nucleotides) under Ovis aries (sheep). It matches the Rfam family "tRNA". Rfam says of the family: Transfer RNA (tRNA) molecules are approximately 80 nucleotides in length. Their secondary structure includes four short double-helical elements and three loops (D, anti-codon, and T loops). Lineage: Eukaryota; Metazoa; Chordata; Mammalia; Artiodactyla; Bovidae. The record is from Rfam by way of RNAcentral.
UCCCUGGUGGUACAGUGCUUAGAACUCUGCACUCUCACUGAUGAGGGUCCAGGUUCAAUCCCUGGCUGAGGAA